RNAcentral lists this long non-coding RNA (442 nucleotides) under Brassica napus (rape). RNAcentral's name for it is "long non-coding RNA (BNAP_LNC009545)". The record is from RNAcentral. Lineage: Eukaryota; Viridiplantae; Streptophyta; Magnoliopsida; Brassicales; Brassicaceae.
AGUUUGGGGUUUGGGGUUUCAGGUUUGGGGUUUGGGGUUUGGGGUUUGGGGUUUCGGGUUUCGGGUUUCGGGUUUGGGGUUUGGGGUUUGGGGUUUAGAGGUUUCGGGGUUUGAGGUUUGGGGUUUGGGGUUUCAGGUUUGGGGUUUGGGGUUUGGGGUUUAGGGUUUCAGGUUUGGGGUUUGGGGUUUGGGGUUUAGAGGUUUCGGAUUUUAGGGAUUUAAACAUAAUACUCGUUAAUUCCACGUAAGCAGAAAUCAUCGUAAACACCACGUAAAAGGAUUUAAACAAAACACUCGUUAAUUCCACGUAAGCCCAAAUCGUCGUGAAGACCACGUAUAAGAAAUCGUCGUAAAUUCCACGUAAGCAGAAAUCGUCGUAAAUACCUCGUAAUGUAAAAACUAGAAAAAAAAGGAAAAGGAGAAAAAUACCAGAUUAACAUGU